RNAcentral lists this ribosomal RNA (170 nucleotides) under Saccharopolyspora shandongensis. Its description in RNAcentral is "16S rRNA. Bacterial SSU". It matches the Rfam family "Bacterial small subunit ribosomal RNA", at positions 1 to 169 of the family's 1533-position model. Lineage: Bacteria; Bacillati; Actinomycetota; Actinomycetes; Pseudonocardiales; Pseudonocardiaceae. The record is from RNAcentral.
CAUUGUUGGAGAGUUUGAUCCUGGCUCAGGACGAACGCUGGCGGCGUGCUUAACACAUGCAAGUCGAACGCUGAAGCACUUUCGGGUGUGGAUGAGUGGCGAACGGGUGAGUAACACGUGGGUAAUCUGCCCUGCACUCUGGGAUAAGCCUUGGAAACGGGGUCUAAUAC